GAUGAACGCUGGCGGCGUGCCUAAUACAUGCAAGUCGAGCGAACAGACGAGGAGCUUGCUCCUCUGACGUUAGCGGCGGACGGGUGAGUAACACGUGGAUAACCUACCUAUAAGACUGGGAUAACUUCGGGAAACCGGAGCUAAUACCGGAUAAUAUAUUGAACCGCAUGGUUCAAUAGUUAAAGACGGUUUUGCUGUCACUUAUAGAUGGAUCCGCGUCGCAUUAGCUAGUUGGUAAGGUAACGGCUUACCAAGGCAACGAUGCGUAGCCGACCUGAGAGGGUGAUCGGCCACACUGGAACUGAGACACGGUCCAGACUCCUACGGGAGGCAGCAGUAGGGAAUCUUCCGCAAUGGGCGAAAGCCUGACGGAGCAACGCCGCGUGAGUGAUGAAGGUCUUCGGAUCGUAAAACUCUGUUAUUAGGGAAGAACAAAUGUGUAAGUAACUAUGCACGUCUUGACGGUACCUAAUCAGAAAGCCACGGCUAACUACGUG
RNAcentral lists this ribosomal RNA (497 nucleotides) under uncultured bacterium. Its description in RNAcentral is "partial 16S ribosomal RNA". It matches the Rfam family "Bacterial small subunit ribosomal RNA", at positions 28 to 507 of the family's 1533-position model. The record is from RNAcentral.